This 263-nucleotide ribosomal RNA is filed under the name uncultured bacterium. RNAcentral describes it as "partial 16S ribosomal RNA". It matches the Rfam family "Bacterial small subunit ribosomal RNA", at positions 92 to 354 of the family's 1533-position model. The record is from RNAcentral.
UUAGUGGCGGACGGGUGAGUAACGCGUGGAUAACCUGCCGUAUACAGGGGGAUAACACUUAGAAAUAGGUGCUAAUACCGCAUAAGCGCACGGUUCCGNAUGGAACAGUGUGAAAAACUCCGGUGGUAUACGAUGGAUCCGCGUCUGAUUAGCCAGUUGGCGGGGUAACGGCCCACCAAAGCGACGAUCAGUAGCCGGCCUGAGAGGGUGAACCGGCCACAUUGGGACUGAGACACGGCCCAAACUCCUACGGAAGGCAGCAG